UGGGGAAUCUUGGACAAUGGGCGAAAGCCUGAUCCAGCCACGCCGCGUGUGUGAAGAAGGACUUCGGUUUGUAAAGCACUUUAAGUUGGGAGGAAGGGCAGUAAGCGAAUACCUUGCUGUUUUGACGUUAUCGACAGAAUAAGCACCGGCUAACACUGUGCCAGCAGCCGCGGUAAUACAGAGGGUGCAAGCGAUAAUCGGAAUUACUGGGCGUAAAGCGCGCGUAGGUGGUUCGGUAAGAUGAAUGUGAAAGCCUCGGGCUCAACCUGGGAACUGCAUGCAAUACUGGCGAGCUAGAGUAGGUGAGAGUGUGGAUGAAUUUCCUGUGGAGCGGUGAAUUGCGUAGAUAUAGGGAGGAACACCAGUGGCGAAGGCUACCACCUGGGCUCAUACUGACACUGAGGUGCGAAAGCGUGGGGAGCAAACAGG
RNAcentral lists this ribosomal RNA (429 nucleotides) under Pseudomonadota bacterium. RNAcentral describes it as "Proteobacteria bacterium partial 16S ribosomal RNA". It matches the Rfam family "Bacterial small subunit ribosomal RNA", at positions 355 to 776 of the family's 1533-position model. Lineage: Bacteria; Pseudomonadati; Pseudomonadota. The record is from RNAcentral.